RNAcentral lists this long non-coding RNA (4171 nucleotides) under Panax ginseng (ginseng). RNAcentral describes it as "long non-coding RNA (PGIN_LNC014873)". Lineage: Eukaryota; Viridiplantae; Streptophyta; Magnoliopsida; Apiales; Araliaceae. The record is from RNAcentral.
AAUUAUUUGGUCAGUGCUGACACGGGGGUUAGCAGGAGGUGUUUUAGAAUAAGUCUAUUGCACAUCCAUUAUUGCACAUCCAUUAAGUUAGGUAAGCAUGAGCUGUCAAAAAUUUUAAAGCAAUAAGCAACCAAUAAGCAAAUUUGUUGGAUGAGAUGAGAGCCAAUAAUUUAUACUCAGCUCACUCUAAUUACUCUCCAUCAAUUUCAAGUUUUAACAUCUUCUCUUUCAAAUUGCCGAAACCAAACAUUUCGAUAUAUUUGCCCAAAUUUCGUGGUCUUGGCUGGAACCAUCAAAGUGAUCGAGAUGAUGGAUCUAUAAAUUUUGAAUUGGUAAUAACCGAAGGCUACAAGGAGGUGAUACAGCUGCCGUUAUAAGCUGAAACAUAAUUAAAUUUGAGUGACUAUAAGGUAAGCCGUGUGUUUUACUUUGUUCAUAACAAGUUAAUUAGCCUAUGUUUGAAUUGAAUUGUUGAUUGAGCUAUGAUAACUAUGAAUUAGCAAAGGAGACUAGCUGUUGUUGUGCGGAGUAAUAAGGGAGAAAAAUAUGGCUUGAGGAAUAUAUGAACCUCUAUUAACUGUUUCAAAAAUGGGUGCACGUGUGGUGUUUGACAAUAGUCCUCUUAGAACUGUUUUAUUUAAAAAGAGGGAAUUGGGUAAAGCUAUUAUUAACAAAGGCUUUAUAUAUGUAAAUUGAAGUAGUUUAAAUAGAUUGGGAAAAUUAAGCUAAGUUUAAAAACUGUUUUGUGAAAGAUGAAACAAAUGAAGUUUGGGUGAAAAUUAGUAUGAAAGGCUGAUUUGGGCUAACUGUUUCGGCUAGUUAGACUUGCUAGAAAAUCGUGGAUUUUUUGGGGUCUUGUGGUGUGCAAUCCCAGCUAUCCAUAGCCUCUGGAAUGGACUCGUUCCGAGUUCGGACGGUCGAGUUAUGACAUGCCAAAGUGGGUGCGUCGAAUCUGUCCAAAAUUUGGAAGUCAGAUUCGAACCUGUCCCUUGUGCGAAUUUUCUGGAAUUAUGGGUGCAGAAUUUGGAAAAUGUUAUUGAAUAAGAGUUGUAGCCCCGGAAGUUAGCUUCGCGUGGGCGCUAGAAUCACUCAAAAAUGUUUUAAAACGAAUUAGUUAUGACUGUUUUAGCGAGAGAGGAUAAAAUUGGGGGAAAAAAAAUAAAAACAGUUGCGACCAAACAUUUUUGGGGUCUGUUUUGGACUGCCUAUGAUGUCCAAAAUAGGUGGAUUAUAUUUUCUAAAUAUAGCCUACUAUGGUGUCUACAAUAUAUCUAAAAUUGGUUGUAAUCGAAGUUAUGAGCUAAAAGAUAUGAAAUUGUAAAGAAGCCAUGUUGCGUAAGGCAGCAGUAGCAGUACUCGGCGGAGGCUAGGGGCUCUUUUGAGUUCUCAGUCAACGCUUUUAUAUUACUUGAAUUGUUGAGCAGGUAUUUUUCUAAAAAUAGGCGAGUGUAUCACCUAUAUAAUACCCAAGAUUCAGCGCAAUUGAACGAAUAAGUUAGGAUAUAAAAAUCCACGAAAAGGGUGUCGAGGAGGAAGGGGGUUGUUACUAAUGGCAGCAACAGUCAGUAGCACGAAGCGACAAACAGUUUGACAUGCAUUUUUUUGUAGCUUGUUUGUGUACCCGUGAAGUUAGUUUAUAAGUUAGUAAAAGUAGACGGGUAUAUAAUCUACAACAUAACCAAAGCUUAAUAGAAUUUGAAUUAACGAGUUGAGAAUGGAAAAAUAACAAAGUGAGUGUCGCAAGCUCGGGAAGGCUGUUUAGCCAAGCAAGGCCACGCCAUGGGGCUGUUAUUGUUUUAUGGGGUUGUUUAGUAUUGCUUGGAAACAUAAUGGGUUUUAACAAAACAGUUUACAGAAAUGGGUAUAUUAAGCAAUUUAAAAGCUAUAAUUUGUCCGUAUAUUAUAUAAUCAUGAACAAUACAUAAGAUAUGUUAUGUAUUCACCUUAAAUACUUAAGGGAGGUACAAGAGAUAUGGAAUACCCAUAUAUUAAGCUACGAGUGGAUUAUAAAACUAAAAUUGUGAGAUAUUCAUGAAGUAAUAUCAUGUCGAAAUCUAUUAAAGCGAUAAAUGAUUACCGUGAGUAAAAGAAUAAUUGUUUUUGAAAAGAGGCGGUCAAUGUGAAUAUUUAAAAUAUAACUGUACAAGUUAUAUAACAUGGUUGUGUGGCUAAUACGUUCAUAUAUAGUAAAAAUACAAAUAUUUGCAAAACGAAGAAUAAAACAAAUGUGUUAGCGGGAUAAAAUAUUUAUAUAUGAGACAAUGAUUCGAGUUGACUCAUGAACAAACAAAAUAAUAAUAUAAAAAUUAUUUAUAUUAAAGGAAUAAUAUAGUAAAUUGAAUUUUACUAUAAAAGCUAUUUAUUAGAUGUUUAAGUCCCGAAUUAAUGAGUAAAUGCAUAUGAUAUUCCUAAAAUGGAAUAUAAAUGAUUGAAGCUUCAAAGUGUAAAAUAUUUACAUACUAAAAUGUGAGGGACCUUUAUUUGGUUUAAAAGGUUAAACCGAAUUAAGUUUCUAAAUAAACUAAUAUUCGUUUUGAGUAAGAAUAAAUAAUAUUAGUUUGUAUAAAACUAAUAAUUAUUAUUGAUGAAUAUACAUGCAUGUUUUGUAAUAUAUUCAAUUAUCUAAUAUAUGUGUGCAUGUAAAUAUAAUUCUGUAGGAAUUGUGGAGAAACUCAAAUUUUGUGAUAAUCUCCAAUUAAGGCAAGUUUUUCAGUUCUAUUAUGUUUGUGGAUUAAAUGUGAUUAUGUGGUGAGCUUCAUACCAUGCUUUAUGAAUUGUUCAAAAAUGACUAAGUUAAUUGGGUUAUGGAACUUAAUUUAUAUGUGAUAUGUGAUAGCACAUGUUGUAUGAAGUAACUCGAUAAAUUAAAAAUGUAUAAUGCAUGAAUGUAUGUUUUGUAAGGAAUUAUUGUUGCAUGUAGGAUAUGCAUAGUAAAGAAUAUAUGUUGCAUGCAGUUAUGCAUAAUAAAGGAAAUAUAGUGCAUAUGGAAUUGUGUGCUAUGUGAAACAUUAUAGACUGUUAAAUUUGCUGGGAUGUCGAGCUCAAUCUUACAAACACAAACUUUUGCAGGUUAAUGAUGUUAAGCAAUAUUACUUGCUAUACGGAUGAUGAAGAUUGAACUAUGUGCAAAAUGUAUAUAUUUCCUUGAAUUAGAAAUGGUAUAAAUUUAUGAUUGAUAGUUUUUUUUUUAUCAAAUUUGGAACUUUUGGUGUCGGAGUUACUAUUCACGUAUACGGCACUAUUCACGUAUACGGUUCUAUUCACGAAUACGGCACUAUUCAUCGAAAAAUGAAUUUUUUUUUUUCGUCCAAAAUAUCUAUUCUGGAUACUAGCUUUGAUUGUAUCCAUGUUUCGAUCAUUCUUGAAUUUUACACCACUAUGAUUAUUUUUGAGGUAUUUUUGGACGUGGAUAAAACAAAGUACGAAUCCUUAAUCCUUAAUCCUUGUCAUUUUGUUUCACUGGAUUCGUUUCUUUAAAAAANNNNNNNNNNNNNNNNNNNNNNNNNNNNNNNNNNNNNNNNNNNNNNNNNNNNNNNNNNNNNNNNNNNNNNNNNNNNNNNNNNNNNNNNNNNNNNNNNNNNAUUUAAAACUUGUUGUCUAUUGUAUUCUAUUAGAUUUUUCCUUGUUGAAGACUAAUGAUAAUUUGUUCUGUAUUAUCUUUGUCAUAAUAUUCUUUACUGGGCUAGUUGAGCUCAUCCUUUUCUUUUUUGUUCCAUUUUUCUUCUCAGGAGGCGAGAAUGUAGCGAGUACGAGUCGGGGUAUGGAAUGAUGGUUUUAGAGAGUUGUUUAGUAGUCCUCACCAUUUUUAUAAAAUAAUGUAUCAAUAAUUAUGAUGAGGAUUUAUUUGUAUGUGGAUAUUGUCUAGAUGACAAUAUCUGUAUUUAAACUCACAGUUUAUAUGUUGUAAUAAUAAAGUUGUAGUUAUUUUUGUACCUUGAUUUUGACAACUCAGAAUGGGUGAUGUAUACCUGUUUUGGGGGUGUCACAAAUUACUGUUCAGUAUUUUAAUUUAUUGAUUUAAUAAUUGUUGUGUUGAUAUUUUGUAUUACUGUUGUUUUCAUAAUUGUCACUGCACAAUAUUUUUUAUUAUCGGAGCAAUAAUUCAUAUUAUCUGAAUAAUAUUAUUAGAUAACAUUAUUGGCAAUGUCUAGAAAGUUCUGUCUAAAGAGAG